GAGAGAGAGAGAGAGAGCACCAAGGAUAUACUGCUGAGUUUACCAUGUCUAGAGAUCGACGUACCACGGCAUCGUGGUGUCUUAAAUUAUAUCGAUCAAGCAUAGGACGAUCAGUUGACAAAGUGAUCAUAGAAGAAUCAUAAUUAUAUAUUUUUUUGGAUUAAUUUGUAUCAAAUCAAUGGAAUGCUCUUUCGGAUACAUUUACGAAACGAUAGUGGAAGAAUCAGCUGUUGAGCACGAUGCUAACGACUUAUCUGGAAUUUUUGAUCCUUAAUUAGAACGACACCCAUGUAAUCGCUAUAUGCCGAACCUCGAGGUCGAGAAAGUAUAACGGCGAUUGCACUUAAGACUAACUACUUGUUGCAUAAUGCAUCGAUCCCUACCUCGAACAAGCCCUAGCCCUCCAAAGUGUCUUUUGAGAGUUCCCUUAAAACGGUAUGUCGUGAUGUUUGAACGUGAUCGAGCACGUGCGAACGCGACACGUUUUAUUAUUCCCAUACAUAUACAGGUAUGUACAUACAUAAGUGUGUAUAUUAUGCAUAUAGAUGAAAGUUAAGUGUACAUAAAUAUAGAGACAUAAAUGUAAAACCAGGGAGAAAAGUCGAUAUGUCCGGCUGACUUUUACUUCAUUCACGAGAACCCUCAUCUGUCUCCUCUCUGCUAUAUAUAUAUGUAACACAUCUCCGUGUGUGUAUAUACUGUAUGUCUCACAGAAGGUCUUGCUUUUAUAUUUUAAACUAAAGUAUAUAAUCGAUAGCAGUGUGUGUUAGGCACGUUAAAUCCGGAAGCUUUACGUGAUCCGUUCUAUCGCAUGUCCUCUUUUCACGGUUAUGAUUUUCUCUCACGUGAAAUUAACUUCCGUGACGAGUUCAAGACAUUUUUAUUAUUACUACUUCACUCUUUUACUAGCACGUUUUAACGCGAAAUGUCGCAUGAGAUUUUUAUCAUCAUUGCUUUCAGUGUGAAAAUUUUCAUGUCUGAGAAAAAUAAAAAUAAUACGUACAUAAAGUUCGCGCGCACGUGUGUGUGUGUGUAUGUGUACGUAUACACACUUUUAUACGAUGUGUUGAUUUUUGAGAGAAGCAAAAAGUCGUCCCCAGAAAGUUUACACUAAAAAUAUCGUUGGACGACAUACUACGUAUGUUAUUCGGACGCGAAUGAACGCGUUCGACGAAUCUUUGUUUCGUUACACUCCUUUUGCUUUAUUUAUAGUUUUAAUAGCGAGAUCGAGUAACACAUCGUACGAGGAUUUUUCAAGGUGCGUGCGAUUAUAUAUCACUCACCGAGCACCGGCCAGCUUUUCAUUCCGUCUGACCCAAUUCGUACGGGUUAUUUUUACAAAGAAUGGGAACAGUCUGAAAGACGGGAGUCCGAAAAUCCUUUUCGUAAGUUCCCGCUGGCCUAGCAUAAAAAGAGAGAG
Molecule: long non-coding RNA, 1420 nt
Organism: Vespa mandarinia (Asian giant hornet)
Lineage: Eukaryota; Metazoa; Arthropoda; Insecta; Hymenoptera; Vespidae
Source: RefSeq, a predicted model, not a curated record